UACGAGGGGGGCAAGCGUUGUUCGGAAUUAUUGGGCGUAAAGCGCGCGUAGGCGGCCCGGUAAGUCCGUUGUGAAAGUCAAAGGCUCAACCUUUGAACGCCGAUGGAUACUGCCGGGCUAGAGUCCGGAAGAGGCGAGUGGAAUUCCUGGUGUAGCGGUGGAAUGCGCAGAUAUCAGGAGGAACACCAAUAGCGAAGGCAGCUCGCUGGGACGGUACUGACGCUGAGGCGCGAAAGCGUGGGGAGCGAACAGG
Molecule: ribosomal RNA, 253 nt
Filed under: uncultured bacterium
Lineage: Bacteria
Description: partial 16S ribosomal RNA
Rfam family: Bacterial small subunit ribosomal RNA
Source: RNAcentral